UGGUGGGAUACUACCCUGGCUGUAUGACCAUUCUAACCCGCCACGCUUAGCGCGUGGGGAGACAGUGUCAGGUGGGCAGUUUGACUGGGGCGGUCGCCUCCUAAAGAGGAACGGAGGCGCCCAAAGGUUCCCUCAGAAUGGAUGGAAAUCAUUCGCAGAGUGUAAAGGCACAAGGGAGCUUGACUGCGAGACUGACAAGUCGAGCAGGGACGAAAGUCGGGCUUAGUGAUCCGGUG
Molecule: ribosomal RNA, 236 nt
Filed under: Listeria ivanovii
Lineage: Bacteria; Bacillati; Bacillota; Bacilli; Caryophanales; Listeriaceae
Also listed under: 1 other name
Description: partial 23S ribosomal RNA
Rfam family: Bacterial large subunit ribosomal RNA
Source: RNAcentral